AGGGAAGAAGCGAAAGUCGACGGUACCUGCAGAAAAAGCGCCGGCUAACUACGUGCCAGCAGCCGCGGUAAUACGUAGGGCGCAAGCGUUAUCCGGAAUUAUUGGGCGUAAAGAGCUCGUAGGCGGUUUGUCGCGUCUGCUGUGAAAUCCGGAGGCUCAACCUCCGGCCUGCAGUGGGUACGGGCAGACUAGAGUGCGGUAGGGGAGAUUGGAAUUCCUGGUGUAGCGGUGGAAUGCGCAGAUAUCAGGAGGAACACCGAUGGCGAAGGCAGAUCUCUGGGCCGUAACUGACGCUGAGGAGCGAAAGGGUGGGGAGCAAACAGGCUUAGAUACCCUGGUAGUCCACCCCGUAAACGUUGGGAACUAGUUGUGGGGUCCAUUCCACGGAUUCCGUGACGCAGCUAACGCAUUAAGUUCCCCGCCUGGGGAGUACGGCCGCAAGGCUAAAACUCAAAGGAAUUGACGGGGACCCGCACAAGCGGCGGAGCAUGCGGAUUAAUUCGAUGCAACGCGAAGAACCUUACCAAGGCUUGACAUAUACGAGAACGGGCCAGAAAUG
This 559-nucleotide ribosomal RNA is filed under the name Microbacterium sp. Ri3Pt_6443. RNAcentral's name for it is "bacterial SSU rRNA". It matches the Rfam family "Bacterial small subunit ribosomal RNA", at positions 441 to 1008 of the family's 1533-position model. The record is from RNAcentral. Lineage: Bacteria; Bacillati; Actinomycetota; Actinomycetes; Micrococcales; Microbacteriaceae.